This is an RNA transcript of Phragmites australis (common reed), 1903 nucleotides long. It is a transcript of the gene named sterol 3-beta-glucosyltransferase UGT80B1, with no coding region annotated. NCBI's taxonomy places the organism in Eukaryota, Viridiplantae, Streptophyta, Magnoliopsida, Poales, Poaceae. The transcript is spliced from 16 exons. The record is from RefSeq and is a predicted model, not a curated record.
CCCAUGGCCUAUCUCACUGGUUCUGCAUCCGCCGUCGAAGCACACACGAAACCCCCAAAAUUGGCGAGACGACGAUGGCCGGCCGCGGUGGCGGCGAUGGUCGCCGUCCUCGCGCCGUCUUCAUGGCCUUUGGCACCCAAGGCGACGUCUUCCCCAUCGCUGCGCUUGCUGCAGCUUUUGCGCGUGACCAACAGCAGUACACCGUGGUGUUCAUCACUCAUUCAGCGCACCGGAAACUUUCGACACAUCUAGCGGCCAGUAAUGUCAGAUACAUGCCUGUGUCAAGCCCACCUGUCCUUGCUGCCGAACAACUUGAGAAUGUUUCAUGUGAUUCUUUUCAAUCAAAUCAUGAGCAUCGGUCCUUUUCGCUGCGGAAAAAGAUCAUUCAGAUGGAGCACCGGGAAGAAUGUUUGUCUUCUGUGGAAGAAGUUUUUGGAAAUGAUCCAAGCAUUAAUGGUGAUUUUAUUACGAUCAAUUUCUUUGCUUUGGAAGGCUGGCACCUUGCAGAAUUGUUCCAAGUUAAGUGCAUCAUUGCUGCUCCCUAUUUUGUUCCAUAUAGCGCUCCUACAUCAUUCGAACACCAAUUUAAACAUAGCCUUCCUCUUCUGUACAAGUACUUCCAAGAAGCUCCCCCAAACACGGUCUGCUGGACAGAUAUUGUCCACUGGAUGUGGGCGCUCUUCAUGGAAAGUUGGGGAUCAUGGAGAAAUGAUUGUCUAAAUCUUAGCCCUAUUCCUUUCACAGAUCCAGUAACAAAUCUUCCUUUGUGGCAUGUGCGAGAAGAGUCUCCAUUAUUGCUGUAUGGUUUCAGCAAAGACAUUGUGGAGUGUCCAGGGUAUUGGCCCUCCAGUGCUCAUGUUUGUGGCUUUUGGUUUCUGCCUAUGGCGUGGCAAUUUUCUUGUGACAAAUGCUUGGUGUCGUCUGGAAAUGUCAAUUCUUCACUUGGAGGUGUUCUGUGCGCAAAUCAUUCUGCCCUAGAGAACUUCCUCAUGGGGAAUUAUUAUUCAUCAAGACCUAUAUUUGUAGGAUUAAGUUCCAUUGGUAGCAUGGGUUUUCUUAGAAAUCCUAAAGCAUUCCUAAUGGUUCUUAAGGCUGCCAUAGCGUCGACGGACUACAGAUUCAUCCUUUUCUCAUCUGGAUACCAGCCAUUAGAUUCUGCAAUCCAAUCUAUUGCUUCUUCAGUAGCAGAAUCAAGUGAGGCGGAGGCACCUUCUCUUGGUGUUGACAGCACACUCCUUUUCAAUGGCCGGCUUUUUUGCUUUUCUGGAUCAAUACCCUAUAGCUGGCUCUUCCCUAGAUGCGUAGCUGCUAUUCACCAUGCUGGCAGUGGAUCAACAGCUGCAGCACUACUUGCUGGAAUCCCUCAGGUAGUAUGCCCUUUCGUGCAUGACCAGUUUUACUGGGCAGAGAGGCUACACUGGUUAGGAGUGGCGCCUGAACCCCUACAAAGACAACAUCUAAUCCCGGAAGUAGACGACACCUCAAGCAUUCACAACGCUGCAGAUAUGCUACUUGGAGCUGUUAGGUCAGCAUUAUCAUUGGAAAUUAAAGCUCAGGCGGCCAUACUUGCAGAUAGGCUCUCUUUUGAGGAUGGGAUCGGCGAAGCCCUCAGGAUCUUGAAGGAGAAAGUGCUGACUCAGAAUUAAACUGGAGCAAUAAGAAGUGGGAGAUAUAAUACAGAGCAGCACCAAAUGCAUAAACUGAACUUGGGGCUUGGGCUGCUUGGUGGAUAUCAGCAGAAAUGGCGAAGUAUUGUCCAUCUCGCCCCUGCUCAAGUGAUAUAAAUUGAGAUAAUUUCUAUCAUUUCAAUAUCUCUGAAAAAUCGUCAUAGCUCAUGAUGUGACCUAAUCCUUGUGGCAUCAGAGCAGACCUGUCUUUUUUUCCUUGAAGGGUACAGCUAAGC